AUAUUGGACAAUGGGCGAAAGCCUGAUCCAGCAAUGCCGCGUGAGUGAUGAAGGCCCUAGGGUUGUAAAGCUCUUUUACCCGGGAAGAUAAUGACUGUACCGGGAGAAUAAGCCCCGGCUAACUCCGUGCCAGCAGCCGCGGUAAUACGGAGGGGGCUAGCGUUGUUCGGAAUUACUGGGCGUAAAGCGCACGUAGGCGGCGAUCUAAGUCAGGGGUGAAAGCCCGGGGCUCAACCCCGGAAUUGCCCUUGAGACUGGAUUGCUUGAACACGGGAGAGGUGAGUGGAAUUCCGAGUGUAGAGGUGAAAUUCGUAGAUAUUCGGAAGAACACCAGUGGCGAAGGCGGCCUGCUGGGCAGUGUCUGACGCUGAGGCGCGACAGCGUGGGGAGCAAACAGG
This 398-nucleotide ribosomal RNA is filed under the name uncultured bacterium. Its description in RNAcentral is "bacterial SSU rRNA". It matches the Rfam family "Bacterial small subunit ribosomal RNA", at positions 361 to 776 of the family's 1533-position model. The record is from RNAcentral.